GUCAAUGGUGAAGCAAGAGCUAGAGGUGAAAGAGUGAGAGGAAGAGGAGGACGAGGAAGGACAGUUGUCUCAGAUGAGAUCAGGGCCACAUUAGUUGACCAUGUACUCAACCAUGGAUUGAGUAUGAGGGAGGCUGGGCAGAGAGUUCAGCCCAACCUGAGCCGCUACACAGUUACAUCUAUCAUCCGUACAUUCAGAAAUGAGAACUGAACUGAGAAACGGUCAGGCCAUGGUGGAAGACACCGGCUGUUCACGCCAGAACAGGAGAACGCUAUUGUGAACAUGGUGGUGGCAAACAAUACCAUUAGAUUACGAGAAAUCUAGAACCACAUAAUUGCAGACAACACAAUAUUCAAUAACAUUCACCAGGUAGGCUUGUCUUCAUUGGACUGUCUUACAGCGGUACCGAACCCGGAUGAAACCGGUCUACAGGGUGCCAUUUGAGCGAAACUCAGAGAGGGUUAAAGAACAGUACUAUGAAUAUAUGCAAGUCUACGUCACAUAUUGUCGAUUCAGAGUCUUGGAGCUGGAUGCCGCUGUAAUUCAGCAAGUUUAUAUUUACAUUGAUGAGGCUGGCUUCAACCUAACCAGAAGAAGGGGACGGAACAUUAUUGGCCACCGUGCCAUAGUGAAUGUCCCUGGACAGCGUGGAGGGAAUAUCACCAUGUGUGCAGCCGUUAGCCAGCAAGGCGUCCUCCAUCACCAUGCCAACCUUGGUUUACAACAUGUUUACAACACCGCUAUUCUCAUCACAUUCCUGGACACACGACAUCAUCAUUCCAGCCGAGCAGAGGGGUGGACCAGAGCAGCCCAGGUAUGUUGUCAUCUGAGACAAUGUGAGUKUCCACCAGGCUGCUCUGGUCUGCAAAUGGUUCAUCAACCACCCACAAUUUAUUGUUCUAUACCUCCCAUCAUAUUCCCCAUUCCUAAACCCAAUUGAAGAGUUUUUAUUCGGCAUGGCGAUGGAAGGUGUAUGUGGUGAAGUUGAUGUGGGUGCUUUCGGAGUCUGGAUCCGUCACUCCAGAAGAUUCUUUCCCCGCUGUUUAGCCAGGGAGAACAUCGCUUGUGAUGUAGAUGAGGUGCUGUGGCCAGACCAAAAUAGGAGGCAGGACGCAGCCUAAUGUCUUUUUUCUUACAUUUUGCAUGUGUUUUUGUGUUUAGAGUUUUGAAAGAAUGAGCCACUUAAAUUUUUUAUUUUUGUACAGAAAACCCUUUAUCUGACUGAAUGGUUUUCUCCUGUUGGAUAUGGACAUGCG
Salvelinus sp. IW2-2015 is the source of this 1256-nucleotide long non-coding RNA. RefSeq lists it as uncharacterized. NCBI's taxonomy places the organism in Eukaryota, Metazoa, Chordata, Actinopteri, Salmoniformes, Salmonidae. The record is from RefSeq and is a predicted model, not a curated record.